This 456-nucleotide ribosomal RNA is filed under the name uncultured Anoxybacillus sp. RNAcentral's name for it is "bacterial SSU rRNA". It matches the Rfam family "Bacterial small subunit ribosomal RNA", at positions 923 to 1382 of the family's 1533-position model. The record is from RNAcentral. Lineage: Bacteria; Bacillati; Bacillota; Bacilli; Caryophanales; Anoxybacillaceae.
GCACAAGCGGUGGAGCAUGUGGUUAAUUCGAAGCAACGCGAAGAACCUUACCAGGUCUUGACAUCCCUGACAACCCGAGAGAUCGGGCGUCCCCUUCGGGGGACAGGGUGACAGGUGGUGCAUGGUUGUCGUCAGCUCGUGUCGUGAGAUGUUGGGUUAAGUCCCGCAACGAGCGCAACCCUCGACCUUAGUUGCCAGCAUUCAGUUGGGCACUCUAAGAUGACUGCCGGCUAAAAGUCGGAGGAAGGUGGGAUGACGUCAAAUCAUCAUGCCCCUUAUGACCUGGGCUACACACGUGCUACAAUGGUCGGUACAGAGUGACGCGAAGCCGCGAGGUGGAGCAAAUCGCAGAAAGCCGGCCUUAGUUCGGAUUGGAGUCUGAAACUCGACUCCAUGAAGGUGGAAUCGCUAGUAAUCGCGUAUCAGCAUGGCGCGGUGAAUACGUUCCCGGGCCUU